This is a long non-coding RNA of Castor canadensis (American beaver), 278 nucleotides long. RefSeq lists it as uncharacterized. NCBI's taxonomy places the organism in Eukaryota, Metazoa, Chordata, Mammalia, Rodentia, Castoridae. The record is from RefSeq and is a predicted model, not a curated record.
AAACCUCGCUCACCUCCUUGCCCACCAGAGACCACACCAUCAGAGUCCAUCCCAAGGCCCUGAUGUGGAGGCAGCUGCCGCUUGUGAGCAUGCCCCUUCUCCCCACGACCAUUGAUGCCGCCAGUGAACUGUGAACACGGUGGCUGUGAGAAUCCCCUGGGAUGAGCUAUGCCCCCCUCGUCAGCUGAGAAGACGUCACAGGUGAAAAAGCAACUGGAUGUUUCCUGGUCCUGGCAACCCAUCAACUAAAUUUCCCUUGUCACCUCUUAAAUUUAAGA